This 380-nucleotide unclassified non-coding RNA is filed under the name uncultured Acidobacteriota bacterium. RNAcentral describes it as "uncultured Acidobacteria bacterium contains 16S-23S intergenic spacer region". The record is from RNAcentral. Lineage: Bacteria; Pseudomonadati; Acidobacteriota.
UCCGGUUUGACACCGGCAGUCUCCCUAGAGUGCCCGGCAUAACCCGCUGGUAACUAGGGACGAGGGUUGCGCUCGUUGCGGGACUUAACCCAACAUCUCACGACACGAGCUGACGGCAGCCAUGCAGCACCUGAACCACCAGUCCCUUGCGGGAAGACCCCAUUUCUGGGGCUGUCCGAUGUUGUCUAGCCCAGGUAAGGUUCUUCGCGUUGCGUCGAAUUGAACCACAUGCUCCACCGCUUGUGCGGGCCCCCGUCAAUUCCUUUGAGUUUCAGUCUUGCGACCGUACUCCCCAGGCGGAUUGCUUAUCGCGUUAGCUGCGGCACGAUCGGAUUGGGUACCGAUCACACCAAGCAAUCAUCGUUUAGGGCUAGGACUAC